GUGCUCUCUUCAGCAGCAUAUAUACUAAAACUGGAAUGAUACAGAAAAGAUUAGCAUGGCCCCUAUGCAAGGAUGACACCCAAGUUUGUGAAGCAUUUCGUAUUUUU
Molecule: small nuclear RNA, 107 nt
Organism: Lemur catta (Ring-tailed lemur)
Lineage: Eukaryota; Metazoa; Chordata; Mammalia; Primates; Lemuridae
Source: RefSeq, a predicted model, not a curated record